This 503-nucleotide ribosomal RNA is filed under the name uncultured bacterium. RNAcentral's name for it is "partial 16S ribosomal RNA". It matches the Rfam family "Bacterial small subunit ribosomal RNA", at positions 30 to 523 of the family's 1533-position model. The record is from RNAcentral.
AUUGAACGCUGGCGGCAGGCUUAACACAUGCAAGUCGAGCGGGGUGAUGGUGCUUGCACUAUCACUUAGCGGCGGACGGGUGAGUAAUGCUUAGGAAUCUGCCUAUUAGUGGGGGACAACAUCUCGAAAGGGAUGCUAAUACCGCAUACGUCCUACGGGAGAAAGCAGGGGAUCACUUGUGACCUUGUGCUAAUAGAUGAGCCUAAGUCGGAUUAGCUAGUUGGUGGGGUAAAGGCCUACCAAGGCGACGAUCUGUAGCGGGUCUGAGAGGAUGAUCCGCCACACUGGGACUGAGACACGGCCCAGACUCCUACGGGAGGCAGCAGUGGGGAAUAUUGGACAAUGGGGGGAACCCUGAUCCAGCCAUGCCGCGUGUGUGAAGAAGGCCUUAUGGUUGUAAAGCACUUUAAGCGAGGAGGAGGCUUACUUAGUUAAUACCUGGGAUAAGCGGACGUUACUCGCAGAAUAAGCACCGGCUAACUCUGUGCCAGCCGCCGCAGUAA